Molecule: transfer RNA, 85 nt
Filed under: Paracoccaceae bacterium
Lineage: Bacteria; Pseudomonadati; Pseudomonadota; Alphaproteobacteria; Rhodobacterales; Paracoccaceae
Description: Rhodobacteraceae bacterium tRNA-Leu
Rfam family: tRNA
About the family: Transfer RNA (tRNA) molecules are approximately 80 nucleotides in length. Their secondary structure includes four short double-helical elements and three loops (D, anti-codon, and T loops).
Source: RNAcentral
GCGGGCGUGGCGGAACUGGUAGACGCACCAGAUUUAGGAUCUGGCGCCUAACGGCAUGGGGGUUCAAGUCCCUCCGCCCGCACCA